RNAcentral lists this long non-coding RNA (379 nucleotides) under Ananas comosus (pineapple). RNAcentral describes it as "long non-coding RNA (ACOM_LNC019285)". The record is from RNAcentral. Lineage: Eukaryota; Viridiplantae; Streptophyta; Magnoliopsida; Poales; Bromeliaceae.
GUGUGAGUGAUCAUGUGGAGGGGACAUGUGGGGUGGUGGGGAGUUAUGUUGAUGAGAGAAAAAAAUCUAGAAUAUAUCAGUUAUAUUAAAGAUGUGGUAUUUUUAAUUAAUCAAAUUUUUCUUCUUAAAUUUACAUAUCCCAUCAUAGUUAUUAAAAUAUAUAUAUAUUAUACUUUGCUUUCAAAAGAAGAGAUAUGACUGACUGGGAAUAAAUGAUAUGGUAUAAGUGUUAUAAUGUAGGGUCUCUCAAAAAAAGUUGAGAAUACACUAAUUAUAUUGCUGGUGUGGAGCUGGAACAUCAUAGCAUGUUAUGUUAUGCUAUGUAUUUAUUACCAUACUCAAUCUUUGAACCUAGUCUAGGUGGGUGGUUUGGGAAUAA